GACGAACGCUGGCGGCGUGCCUAAUACAUGCAAGUAGAACGCUGAAGGAGGAGCUUGCUUCUCUGGAUGAGUUGCGAACGGGUGAGUAACGCGUAGGUAACCUGCCUGGUAGCGGGGGAUAACUAUUGGAAACGAUAGCUAAUACCGCAUAAGAGCAGAUGUUGCAUGACAUUUGCUUAAAAGGUGCAAUUGCAUCACUACCAGAUGGACCUGCGUUGUAUUGGCUAGUUGGUGGGGUAACGGCUCACCAAGGCGACGAUACAUAGCCGACCUGAGAGGGUGAUCGGCCACACUGGGACUGAGACACGGCCCAGACUCCUACGGGAGGCAGCAGUAGGGAAUCUUCGGCAAUGGACGGAAGUCUGACCGAGCAACGCCGCGUGAGUGAAGAAGGUUUUCGGAUCGUAAAGCUCUGUUGUAAGAGAAGAACGAGUGUGAGAGUGGAAAGUUCACACUGUGACGGUAUCUACCAGAAAGG
RNAcentral lists this ribosomal RNA (478 nucleotides) under Streptococcus mitis. RNAcentral describes it as "bacterial SSU rRNA". It matches the Rfam family "Bacterial small subunit ribosomal RNA", at positions 28 to 491 of the family's 1533-position model. The record is from RNAcentral. Lineage: Bacteria; Bacillati; Bacillota; Bacilli; Lactobacillales; Streptococcaceae.